UACGAAGGGGGCUAGCGUUGCUCGGAUUGACUGGGCGUAAAGGGCGCGUAGGCGGUUCGUACAGUCAGACGUGAAAUUCCUGGGCUCAACCUGGGGCUGCGUUUGAUACGUGCGGACUUGAGUGCGGAAGAGGGUCGUGGAAUUCCUAGUGUAGAGGUGAAAUUCGUAGAUAUUAGGAAGAACACCAGUGGCGAAGGCGGCUCACUGGCCCGGUACUGACGCUGAGGCGCGAAAGCGUGGGGAGCAAACA
This 250-nucleotide ribosomal RNA is filed under the name uncultured bacterium. RNAcentral describes it as "partial 16S ribosomal RNA". It matches the Rfam family "Bacterial small subunit ribosomal RNA", at positions 524 to 774 of the family's 1533-position model. The record is from RNAcentral.